UACAGAGGAUGCAAGCGUCAAUCGGAAUUACUGGGCGUAAAGCGUGCGCAGGCGGUCCGUUAAGACAGAUGUGAAAUCCCCGGGCUUAACCUGGGAACUGCAUUUGUGACUGGCGGACUCGAGUAUGGCAGAGGGGGGUAGAAUUCCACGUGUAGCAGUGAAAUGCGUAGAGAUGUGGAGGAAUACCGAUGGCGAAGGCAGCCCCCUGGGCCAAUACUGACGCUCAUGCACGAAAGCGUGGGGAGCAAACAGG
RNAcentral lists this ribosomal RNA (253 nucleotides) under uncultured bacterium. RNAcentral's name for it is "partial 16S ribosomal RNA". It matches the Rfam family "Bacterial small subunit ribosomal RNA", at positions 524 to 776 of the family's 1533-position model. The record is from RNAcentral.